Molecule: long non-coding RNA, 254 nt
Filed under: Mustela putorius furo (domestic ferret)
Lineage: Eukaryota; Metazoa; Chordata; Mammalia; Carnivora; Mustelidae
Description: lncRNA (ENSMPUG00000029139.1)
Source: RNAcentral
UGUAUUUCCCUGUGCAAACUCUCCAACCCACCCCAGAGGCUGGACGAUCUUGGGAAGGGUCGUAGCGCAACCAUACUGCUGACCCCAGAUUUUGUUUUCUUCAGGAUGACCUCUUUGGCAGCCAAUACAAGCAUGAAAACUUCCUUGUUGUAAGUUAACAAGAAUGUCAUGGGAUAAAGCAGAAUAUUACCACUCAAGUAGUUAUAGUGUACCCUAAAAAAGAGAUUUAUUCUGAAUAUCUUCAUAAAAUUUCA